Molecule: small nuclear RNA, 100 nt
Organism: Tupaia belangeri (northern tree shrew)
Lineage: Eukaryota; Metazoa; Chordata; Mammalia; Scandentia; Tupaiidae
Source: Ensembl
UUGUUUGUGUAGCACAUGUACUAAAAUUGGAAUGAUACAAGGACUAGCAUAGCCCCUGUGCAAGGAUGACAAGCCAAUGUGUGAAGCGGUUUGUAUUUAU